RNAcentral lists this ribosomal RNA (135 nucleotides) under uncultured Alphaproteobacteria bacterium. RNAcentral describes it as "partial 16S ribosomal RNA". Lineage: Bacteria; Pseudomonadati; Pseudomonadota; Alphaproteobacteria. The record is from RNAcentral.
UUUACCUGCUACAGUCAUUAUCUUCACAGGCGAAAGAGCUUUACGACCCUAAGGCCUUCUUCACUCACGCGGCAUGGCUAGAUCAGGCUUGCGCCCAUUGUCUAAGAUUCCCCACUGCUGCCUCCCGUAGGAGUA